Pelobates cultripes (western spadefoot toad) is the source of this 531-nucleotide non-coding RNA. The record is from the annotation of a GenBank genome assembly. Lineage: Eukaryota; Metazoa; Chordata; Amphibia; Anura; Pelobatidae.
GCGCCUAAUAACCCCUCUAAUAAAUAUUUCUAUGACCUUUUUGAUAAAGUAGAUAAAAUAAAGCAGGGUAAAUUACUUCUGGCGGGUGAUUUCAAUCGGAUACCAGAUAUAAAUAUAGAUAGGAAAACUUUAAAUCAUGAAGGGUCAAUUAAAGGAGUAACUGCACAAGCUGUACAAUUUCAAAGGAUAAUUAAGAAAUAUGGAUUUAUGGAUAUAUGGCGAGUGUUUCAUCCAUUGGAGAGGGAUUUUACAUGCUUCUCCAGAUCAUAUUUCUCAUACUCAAGAAUUGACUUAUUUUUGGGCAGUGUUGGAUUUACCAAUAGUACUAAAAAAGUCCUUGUAGACGAAGUAACUUGGUCCGAUCAUAAUGCCAUAAUCUUGGAGUUGGAUAUAGUGGAUAAUAGGGCAAGAAGAACUGAUUGGAGAUUAAAUGAUAAUAUUCUCUCCAGUAAGGAAAACAGAGAUUAUAUAGGGGAGAUGACAGGAAAAUGAGGGGGGUGAAGUGUCACUUCCGAUGGUUUGGAAUGCAUA